GUAACGGCGAGUGAAGCGGCAACAGCUCAAAUUUGAAAUCUGGCCCCCAGGGUCCGAGUUGUAAUUUGUAGAGGAUGCUUUUGGCGAGGUGCCUUCCGAGUUCCCUGGAACGGGACGCCACAGAGGGUGAGAGCCCCGUCUGGUCGGCCACCGAGCCUCUGUAAAGCUCCUUCGACGAGUCGAGUAGUUUGGGAAUGCUGCUCAAAAUGGGAGGUAUAUGUCUUCUAAAGCUAAAUACUGGCCAGAGACCGAUAGCGCACAAGUAGAGUGAUCGAAAGAUGAAAAGCACUUUGAAAAGAGGGUUAAAAAGUACGUGAAAUUGUUGAAAGGGAAGCGCCUAUGACCAGACUUGGGCCCGGUGAAUCAUCCAGCGUUCUCGCUGGUGCACUUCGCCGGGCACAGGCCAGCAUCAGUUUGGCGCGGGGGAAAAAGGCUCUGGGAAUGUGGCUCCCCCGGGAGUGUUAUAGCCCACCGCGUAAUACCCUGCGCCGGACUGAGGUACGCGCAUUCGCAAGGAUGCUGGCGUAAUGGUCAUCAGCGACCCGUCUUGAAACACGGACCAAGGAGUCGUCUUCGUAUGCGAGUGUUCGGGUGUCAAACCCCUACGCGUAAUGAAAGUGAACGUAGGUGAGAGCUUCGGCGCAUCACCGACCGAUCCUGAUGUUCUCGGAUGGAUUUGAGUAAGAGCAUACGGGGCCGGACCCGAAAGAAGGUGAACUAUGCCUGUAUAGGGUGAAGCCAGAGGAAACUCUGGUGGAGGCUCGCAGCGGUUCUGACGUGCGAAUCGAUCGUC
This 793-nucleotide ribosomal RNA is filed under the name Arachnidicola kanyawimiae. RNAcentral describes it as "Akanthomyces kanyawimiae partial large subunit ribosomal RNA". It matches the Rfam family "Eukaryotic large subunit ribosomal RNA", at positions 83 to 906 of the family's 3401-position model. Lineage: Eukaryota; Fungi; Ascomycota; Sordariomycetes; Hypocreales; Cordycipitaceae. The record is from RNAcentral.